This 74-nucleotide transfer RNA is filed under the name Percichthys trucha. Its description in RNAcentral is "tRNA-Leu(UUR)". It matches the Rfam family "tRNA". Rfam says of the family: Transfer RNA (tRNA) molecules are approximately 80 nucleotides in length. Their secondary structure includes four short double-helical elements and three loops (D, anti-codon, and T loops). Lineage: Eukaryota; Metazoa; Chordata; Actinopteri; Centrarchiformes; Percichthyidae. The record is from RNAcentral.
GUUAAGGUGGCAGAGUCCGGUAACUGCAAAAGAAUUAAGCCCUUUCUACAGAGGUUCAAGUCCUCUCCUUAACU